This 1368-nucleotide ribosomal RNA is filed under the name unidentified marine bacterioplankton. RNAcentral describes it as "bacterial SSU rRNA". It matches the Rfam family "Bacterial small subunit ribosomal RNA", at positions 9 to 1371 of the family's 1533-position model. The record is from RNAcentral.
GAGUUUGAUCAUGGCUCAGAUUGAACGCUGGCGGCAUGCCUUACACAUGCAAGUCGAACGGCAGCAUGAUCUAGCUUGCUAGAUUGAUGGCGAGUGGCGAACGGGUGAGUAAUACAUCGGAACGUGCCCUGUAGUGGGGGAUAACUAGUCGAAAGAUUAGCUAAUACCGCAUACGACCUGAGGGUGAAAGUGGGGGACCGCAAGGCCUCAUGCUAUAGGAGCGGCCGAUGUCUGAUUAGCUAGUUGGUGGGGUAAAGGCCCACCAAGGCGACGAUCAGUAGCUGGUCUGAGAGGACGAUCAGCCACACUGGGACUGAGACACGGCCCAGACUCCUACGGGAGGCAGCAGUGGGGAAUUUUGGACAAUGGGGGCAACCCUGAUCCAGCAAUGCCGCGUGUGUGAAGAAGGCCUUCGGGUUGUAAAGCACUUUUGUCCGGAAAGAAAUCGCACUUACUAAUAUUAGGUGUGGAUGACGGUACCGGAAGAAUAAGGACCGGCUAACUACGUGCCAGCAGCCGCGGUAAUACGUAGGGUCCAAGCGUUAAUCGGAAUUACUGGGCGUAAAGCGUGCGCAGGCGGUUGUGCAAGACCGAUGUGAAAUCCCCGGGCUUAACCUGGGAAUUGCAUUGGUGACUGCACGGCUAGAGUGCGUCAGAGGGGGGUAGAAUUCCACGUGUAGCAGUGAAAUGCGUAGAGAUGUGGAGGAGUACCGAUGGCGAAGGCAGCCCCCUGGGAUAACACUGACGCUCAUGCACGAAAGCGUGGGGAGCAAACAGGAUUAGAUACCCUGGUAGUCCACGCCCUAAACGAUGUCAACUAGUUGUUGGGGAUUCAUUUCCUUAGUAACGUAGCUAACGCGUGAAGUUGACCGCCUGGGGAGUACGGUCGCAAGAUUAAAACUCAAAGGAAUUGACGGGGACCCGCACAAGCGGUGGAUGAUGUGGAUUAAUUCGAUGCAACGCGAAAAACCUUACCUACCCUUGACAUGCCACUAACGAAGCAGAGAUGCAUUAGGUGCUCGAAAGAGAAAGUGGACACAGGUGCUGCAUGGCUGUCGUCAGCUCGUGUCGUGAGAUGUUGGGUUAAGUCCCGCAACGAGCGCAACCCUUGUCUCUAGUUGCUACGAAGGGGCACUCUAGAGAGACUGCCGGUGACAAACCGGAGGAAGGUGGGGAUGACGUCAAGUCCUCAUGGCCCUUAUGGGUAGGGCUUCACACGUCAUACAAUGGUGCAUACAGAGGGUUGCCAAGCCGCGAGGUGGAGCUAAUCCCAGAAAAUGCAUCGUAGUCCGGAUCGUAGUCUGCAACUCGACUACGUGAAGCUGGAAUCGCUAGUAAUCGCGGAUCAGCAUGCCGCGGUGAAUACGU